AGUAGAGAAAAGGGGCCUCUGGUGACCGCCCCUACCUGGCAUCCCUCUAACCCAGGAGGAGCGUGGGGAAAGGGGCUGUGGGCCUCUCGGGGAGCGAGCUGCGGGUAGCGGCGCACUGGGUACAGGCGCGCGCUUGGCUGUCGCCUCUGCCGCUGUGUUUGGGAGGACUCGAACUGGCGCCAGGUGAGUGCGUACCUGCUCGCCCCUGCCGCGCCGCGCCGCCUUGCUGGGGCCUGGAGGUGUUUCCAGAGGGUUUCUGUGCUGGAGCCCGGGACUUGGUUGCGCCCUGAAAGCCUUGCCUGGACUCUUGCCACCCUCACAGAGCUGAUAGGUGGCCUGCCGAGGAGGACGUGUACUCAUGGUGGCGUGGUGCUCUAGCGCCCCGGAAUAAUCCUGAAAAUGGGAACGCUGCCUCCAAGAGACCGCGCAGCCUGGAGAAGUCGCCAGGGACAGGAUCAGGACUUGAUCCUCGCGGAUCGAUAUGGUCUCAUUCCUCUAGCGUUGGGGUGAUGACCUACUGCCCGCCUGCUGCCUGUUACUGAAAUAUUAGGAAGCUGUGAUUUUCAAAGCUAAUUAUGAAAACAUUUAUCAUUGGAAUCAGUGGGCUCUACAAGAAACAUGGUGGUGAUAUGUGCUUCUGAUGAGGGCCUCAGGAAGCUUACAGUCAUGGUGGAAGAUGAAGGGGAUCCAGCAUGUCACAUGGCGGAAGAAGGAGCAAGAGAGAGUGAGAGGGAGGUUUCAGACUUUUUAAACAACCAGCUCUCACGUGAACCAACAGAGCAAAAACUCACUCAUUACCAUGGGGAUGGCACCAAACCCUUCAUGAGCGAUCUGCCCUCAUGAGCCAAACACCUGCCAGCAGGCCCCACCUCCAGCUUGGGGAUCACAUUUCUUUUUUGAGACAGAGUCUUGCUCGCCCAGGCUGGAGUGCAGUGGUGCAAUCUCGGCUCACUGCAGCCUCCGCCUCCUGGGUUCAAGCGAUUCUCCUGCCUCAGCCUCCCAAGUUGCUGGGACUACAGGCAUGCACCACCACGCCCAGCUAAUUUUUGUAUUUUUAAUAGAGGUGGGGUUUCACCAUGUUGACCAGGCUGGUCUUGAACUCCUGACCUCAGGUGAUCCACCCACCUCGACCUCCCAAAGUACUGGGAUUACAGGUGUGAGUCACCGUACCCGGCCAGGGAUCACAUUUCAAUAUGAGAUCUGGAGGGGACAAACAUCCAAACUCAGUCACUGGGGAAAGAGAUGAUAACCUUCAUGGGAUUCUCUCAGAGUCCCACAACAUAAAAAAGUUUAAAUCCAUCCUGGCAUUAGACUUUCCCAUCUCCAUUACUUAACAUGGACUAGUUUUAUUAGUAUACAACUUCUCAAUCCUUAGUUUCCUCAACUGGAAAAUUGGAAUAUUAACAUCUACCUGUUGCAGAAUGUAUUCUCCACGUGUUUGAGUAAUUACAGACAGCCUUUUAACUUCUCCCCAGCCCACUGUUAUGUCCAAAUACAAUGAGCCCUCUUGUUACCUGGCACAUAAAAAAUAAAUGGGCCAGGAGUUGUGCAUUUAUUUGGGUGUUGUGAGCAAAGAAGGGAGUGGCACCAAGUAGUCACCCUUUUUCCUUCCUCAGAUCCUAGGACAGAAUGCAUGCUGGGCACGCUUCUCCUCAGGUUGGGUAGCACACGCAAGCUACACGUGGUGGUUGUGGGCGUGCCAUAGGAAAAUGUUCCUAUUCCUUUCCCACAUGUUUUGGGUGGCCUUCCUAUUCCUUUACCCCAUCCUAUUCCCCCAUUCCUAUCCCUUUCCCCCAUCCUAUUCCCUUCCCCAAGGAAGGUUCCUAUUCCUUUCCGCCAUGUUUUGGGUGGCCUGAGCUGUCACCUGACCAGGAUGUCUGCAGUCUGAGUGUGGAUCUUAGGUGCAGGCUUGUUUAAAUACUUUUUCUCCCCUCUCCUCUCCAUAUCUCAGACUGUCUUCUAGCCGAUCUGUCUCCUCCAAGGCUUGUGCAAAAAUGGGGUGUGUAUUUCUCAUUAGCUUUAGCUAAGUCAGUGAGAAAGGAUCUAAUUACUACUGUUGGUUUGACUGCGUGAUCUUAACAGAGAUAAGUCUAAAAAAUGACAGAUUUUUCUAGCCAGAUUGUUCAUAUUGUAAUAAAGUCACCCCUGUUCACUAUCUCAUUUAAACCAAAACUUAAUACCUAAACUAUGGACAUUUGGUAUGGUUUACAGACAUUUUUGUUAAAGAAGGGGAAAAGUCAUAAUAUGUUCUUGAUACAUAGGGUAGCACCCACUCACUUUUCAUCGUUUUCAAAGAGAUGGCCCAUAUCCUACCCAAUUGUAUAUCGUAAGGUUACAUGAGAAAUCUUGUGAAUCAGGUUCCUUCUACCUUGAGGUAUAAGGUAGUAAUUGAGUUAUAUACAAGCCAUUUUGAUGAAUGGAUAUUAGUUCAUUUUCCCUUUUCUAGAUUAUAAGUAUUUGUGGAUUGAUCUCAUCUGGGAUUAAGCAAAGUUUCUUACAAAUAGAUGUGUAGUCAGGAGGUUUUUGUGCUGUGAACAUUUUG
This 2542-nucleotide long non-coding RNA is filed under the name Homo sapiens (human). RNAcentral's name for it is "HSALNT0150437". Lineage: Eukaryota; Metazoa; Chordata; Mammalia; Primates; Hominidae. The record is from RNAcentral.